UGCCUCAUUUCUGUGUGGUUUCUGGGAAAU
RNAcentral lists this non-coding RNA (30 nucleotides) under Rattus norvegicus (Norway rat). Lineage: Eukaryota; Metazoa; Chordata; Mammalia; Rodentia; Muridae. The record is from RNAcentral.